CCUACGGGGGGCUGCAGUGGGGAAUAUUGGACAAUGGGCGCAAGCCUGAUCCAGCCAUGCCGCGUGAGUGAUGAAGGCCUUAGGGUUGUAAAGCUCUUUCAGUGGGGACGAUAAUGACGGUACCCACAGAAGAAGCCCCGGCUAACUUCGUGCCAGCAGCCGCGGUAAUACGAAGGGGGCUAGCGUUGUUCGGAUUUACUGGGCGUAAAGCGCACGUAGGCGGAUCGUUAAGUCGGGGGUGAAAUCCUGGAGCUCAACUCCAGAACUGCCCUCGAUACUGGCGAUCUUGAGUCCGGAAGAGGUGAGUGGAACUCCUAGUGUAGAGGUGGAAUUCGUAGAUAUUAGGAAGAACACCAGUGGCGAAGGCGGCUCACUGGUCCGAUACUGACGCUGAGGUGCGAAAGCGUGGGGAGCAAACAGGCUUAGAUACCCCGGUAGUC
This 440-nucleotide ribosomal RNA is filed under the name uncultured Hyphomicrobiales bacterium. RNAcentral describes it as "bacterial SSU rRNA". It matches the Rfam family "Bacterial small subunit ribosomal RNA", at positions 338 to 795 of the family's 1533-position model. The record is from RNAcentral. Lineage: Bacteria; Pseudomonadati; Pseudomonadota; Alphaproteobacteria; Hyphomicrobiales.